ACAGAGGGACAUGAGGGCUUCCUUCGUGGCUCAGCGGUAAAGAGUCCACCUGCAGUGUAGGAGACGCAGAGCACCACAUCUCAGGGUCUACGGAACAAAGGACAAGAAAGCUGCGGAUGACAGAAGUAGUGGUUGAGUGAGGUGACUCUGUCCCUCUAGGAUGUAGCUGUGUCACUCCUCACGAAUGGAUGGGCCACAAGUUCACAGUCUUACCUGACAGCACCUAAAAACCAUCACCAGGGCAAUCUCUGGGAACCAUGCGUCUUUUUCAGCUUCUUACAACAGCUCUUGUCAGGUCCAGCCUUGGCAUCCUCCACCUCCUGCUUGUCUGCUCUGGAGACUUGUGAUGAGAACACAGCCCUGGAAGGGCCUCUCCGUUUUCCUGCGUCCCUCCCUCUCUCGCUCCCGGAGCCCAGCUGUGCGCCCUGGGCCUCGCCUGCUCCCCUUUCUCCUUCUCUUCCUCUGCCUCAGGCAGGAGAGGUCUGUGCCUCCCUGGGCUUCCAAGACUCGGGUGUAGCGCAGGGCAGCGGGCAGAGCCGCCCUCUGCAGGCUGGCUUUGGUUC
Long non-coding RNA from Bos taurus (domestic cattle), 563 nucleotides. NCBI's taxonomy places the organism in Eukaryota, Metazoa, Chordata, Mammalia, Artiodactyla, Bovidae. The record is from Ensembl.